Amphimedon queenslandica is the source of this 350-nucleotide long non-coding RNA. RefSeq lists it as uncharacterized. The record is from RefSeq and is a predicted model, not a curated record. NCBI's taxonomy places the organism in Eukaryota, Metazoa, Porifera, Demospongiae, Haplosclerida, Niphatidae. The transcript is spliced from 2 exons.
GUAUUCAAUUCUAACUUUGAUUGUCUACAUGUACAGUAGUACACCCCACCAAUAUCAUUGUUAUGCUUAUUAUACCUGUCUUGUAUUUGUUAGGAUCAAAUGACUACAUUAUCAAGUGGUUAUGAAGGACAGUUGAGUGCUAUGUCUGAUCAUUUGUGUGAGCUAAGGGACAAACUGGCUGAGACUGAAGAAGGAUUUGAAAAUCCAAAGAAAGGAAGGAGAAAAAUGAAAUAGAGAACACAGACAACAGCUGCUUCAAUAAUUAUUAUUUACUAUUAUUGACAUAAAAAUAUUAAUGCUGCUUGUAACAUACCCACACCAUUUUAUUAUGCCCAUACUAUAACCAUGAA